UUCAGUCAGCAGCAAUAUACGGUCACGUCGGUCAGCAGUCAGAGCCUUUGCGUUAGUUAUGGAGCAUUGGAAGAUAUCUUGUUGUGUUAAGUUGUGUAUCGAGACGAAGGCUAUGAAUGUUUUAUGCUUCACCAGCUUCAAUCAGCUAUUUCUGUGUUUUGAAUGCAGUGCAGUUAAAUAGUAGCGGAUAUCAUGUGACAUCUUUCUGCAAUGAUGAUAGUUCAUUCUGUUCAGCACAAUGUUGUGUGGUGAUUCAAUAUUAGUCAUGCAGGACUCUGAUUUAAGUUACGCAAUUCAGAUAAGUUGUUUGGUGAUUAUUGUAUUAUUAACUAUAAUGUCUUUUUCAUGAUGUUUAGAUAAUGAUUAAAAAUUGCUCAUCGGUUCACCACAAAGACUGGAUUAUUACUGUAGUGCUACAGUCCAGAUGGGAUUCAACUCGAGGAAUUACAGUUGUGAAUUUUGGUCCAAGGCUAUCCUGCUGGCCGAUGAUAUGGAAGUGAAAUCAACUGUUUUUUAUGUAACUACAAGUUUCUAAUUCCGUCAGUGCCCUACAACUAGUGUUUGAUGGCCAGUCACCCUGUAUGGAUGACUUUCUACUGCAACAUCUGUCAACAAGGAAAUCACUUGACGAUUGUUGUUUUCCUGAUUGACCCAUUCGUGUCAGCUCUUUACACCCAUGUCACCAACAUAAUUAGCUGGAAGAUCGAAUCUCAUUCUGUGGUCGUAUUUCUUGAAAAUGUGAUAACUACCACAUACUUGGACUGAUGACUUUGAGGAUACUAUGACAAUCGUUUAAAAUUGUAUUGCUUGUAGCCUACAGUCUAACAUUAACAUGUUGUUAUUGUCUCGUUUCAGAGAAUCCUGGUGUUGGAGCCUGGCGUUGCUGCAGCGUGUCUACAUUUGGCGGUUACUGGUUAAUCCUCGACAUUGUGAAAUAUUCUUCCGGCGUCUUCAGCUCAACUCCCGUUACCUCCGGAUUAUGGCCACUGCUCCUGCUGUCGGAUGAUGUCUAUGCGGAAAUUGAUCCUGACACAACACACCGCAGCUGCCUUUGUUCAGGUUUUUCAAAAUUCCGGUUGGGAUUCAAUGUUGCCGGUCUGGACAUGUCUGGAAAACGACAGGGCGCCCAUAGCGGUGAAUUCACCAACUAAGAAGAAUCAUUCAGUUUUUCUUCAGCAUUUAUUGUUUUAGGUGGGUUUUCAAAAACGCUGACGGAGGCUGUUGCCCUAAAACGGAUAUCGAAAUGAUAAAUGACCUCACAUGGAUCCGUUAAUGAAGUCUUAAUUUUAUCGUCUGCCUGUUGUCUAGCCUAAAUGCAAGUGUGUAACGAGAAUUCGAAAUUUACUUCAGAUUCCACUCAGAUGCCGUGAAACUUUGGAUACCGUCUGACCAAAUAUUGUUUGACAGCCAUUUUCCGGCGAUCAGUCACUUCAUCCUUUGAUGGAGCGUCUAGAGUCUCAAUCUCAAAGUCCGACAAUCCAUCCAUCCUUGAUUCCUUUCCGUACAGUCAAACGUGGAGGAAUCUUUUGGCUCCGUCAGUAGGUGGCUAAAAUCAAGUUGUCCCCCCAGCCGCCAGAUGACGCGAGUCUCUUUGAGAGGACGAAAUUUUCGCCAUUUUGUUCUGAAACGCCAAGUGAAAAAGUAUUCCAAAUUCGUUACGGAAUUGAGAUGUCGAUCUACAUUUUCAGCAUUGAAAUUGAAAUUUAUGGCAAUCUGGCAUAUAAUUUCCAUUUGGCCAAAUAAUCGAUCAGGAACUGCUUUCUAUUUUGCCGGAAUGUCGUCGGUUGUUACCUUUACCUGUUCGUUCGGAUGUACCUGUCAUCUCACGCCGAAACACUACAGAGCUUGGAGAUCCCGUUGCCUAACUGUUGCAGAAUGUGAGAACUCAACAAAGUCUGAGCUCCAUGGCCGGCAUCAUUACAGUGAUUUUGUUGGAGCCAGCUGGUGAAAGGUGUGAUUGAGUUAAGUUGAGCUGCAGCUGCUGCAUGCAGUUUAUCGAGCUGGUGUUAUCCUGAAGUGUCAUCGCAGGAAGACUUUUUGAAAUGGACUUGGUGAUACUUAAACUAUGCCUGUGCUGUUCAAUGUGCAGUGGUUUUGCAGCCGAUUAUGCAGCUGAUAUAGGAUUGAAGAAAAAGAUCUGAAGUAGCUGUGCUGGUGUUCCGAAAUUGCUGUGCCACAGGAGUUGCAGAUAGUGUGUUUGGUUCCACAUAGAAGUUAAUGUAAAGAGUUUGGAGAUGAUUAGCCACUUCUGCCUAUAACUUUUGUAAAACUUCAAAGUUGUAAGAAAUAUACAAGUCAAGUGCGAAA
Molecule: long non-coding RNA, 2307 nt
Organism: Daphnia pulex (common water flea)
Lineage: Eukaryota; Metazoa; Arthropoda; Branchiopoda; Diplostraca; Daphniidae
Exons: 12
Source: RefSeq, a predicted model, not a curated record